This 488-nucleotide ribosomal RNA is filed under the name uncultured bacterium. RNAcentral describes it as "bacterial SSU rRNA". It matches the Rfam family "Bacterial small subunit ribosomal RNA", at positions 33 to 507 of the family's 1533-position model. The record is from RNAcentral.
GAGAGACGCUGGCGGCGUGCCUAACACAUGCAAGUCGAGCGGAGUCGAUCGACGGAAGCCUUCGGGCGGAAGAUGGUUGACUUAGCGGCGGAGUGGGUGAGUAACGCGUGGGCAACCUGCCCGUUAACCGGGGGAUAACAUUGUAGAAAACAGUGCUAAUACCGCAUAACAGAGUAGUCGGGCAUCCGAUAUUUUUAAAAGGAGCAAUCCGGUUUAGGAUGGGCCCGCGUCCAAUUAGCUAGUUGGUGAGGUAACGGCUCACCAAGGCUACGAUUGGUAGCCGAACUGAGAGGUUGAUCGGCCACAUUGGGACUGAGACACGGCCCAGACUCCUACGGGAGGCAGCAGGUGGGGAAUAUUGGGCAAUGGGCGAAAGCCUGACCCAGCGACGCCGCGUGAAGGAUGAAGGUCUUCGGAUUGUAAACUUCUUUUGAUCAGGGAAGAAAGAAAUGACGGUACCUGAAGAACAAGCCACGGCUAACUACGUG